This 391-nucleotide ribosomal RNA is filed under the name uncultured eukaryote. RNAcentral describes it as "SSU rRNA". It matches the Rfam family "Eukaryotic small subunit ribosomal RNA", at positions 587 to 972 of the family's 1831-position model. The record is from RNAcentral.
AGCUCGAAGGGCGUAUCUUAAAAUUGUUGCGGUUAAAAAGCUCGUAGUUGGAUUUCUCCGCUUUCAGACCCGCGGUCCCUCGCGGCGGGCUUUGCCCGUCGGGAGUGGAAAGCGGCUGGGCGUUUACACCGCCGGGAUGCUGGGGUCAAACCCAGUGUUUCGGCACCUACUUUGAGAAAAUUAGAGUGUUUCAAGCAGGCAAUUAAUCAAUGCCGUGAAUACUACAGCAUGGAAUAGAACCAACGGGCUUUCGUCCUGCGCUGGUGGGUUCCUGGACCAAGUCAUGAUUGAUAGGGACGGUUGGGGGUGCUCGUAUUCCGCGGCCAGAGGUGAAAUUCUUGGAUUCGCGGAAGACGAACUAGUGCGAAAGCAUUCACCAAGUACGUUUUCU